This 461-nucleotide ribosomal RNA is filed under the name uncultured bacterium. RNAcentral's name for it is "bacterial SSU rRNA". It matches the Rfam family "Bacterial small subunit ribosomal RNA", at positions 33 to 507 of the family's 1533-position model. The record is from RNAcentral.
ACGCUGGCGGCGCGCCUAACACAUGCAAGUCGAACGAGCGAGAGAGAGCUUGCUUUCUCGAGCGAGUGGCGAACGGGUGAGUAACGCGUGAGGAACCUGCCUCAAAGAGGGGGAUAACAGUUGGAAACGACUGCUAAUACCGCAUAAGCCCACGGUGCCGCAUGGCACAGAGGGAAAAGGAGCAAUCCGCUUUGAGAUGGCCUCGCGUCCGAUUAGCUAGUUGGUGAGGUAACGGCCCACCAAGGCAACGAUCGGUAGCCGGACUGAGAGGUUGAACGGCCACAUUGGGACUGAGACACGGCCCAGACUCCUACGGGAGGCAGCAGUGGGGAAUAUUGCACAAUGGGGGAAACCCUGAUGCAGCGACGCCGCGUGGAGGAAGAAGGUCUUCGGAUUGUAAACUCCUGUUGUUGGGGAAGAUAAUGACGGUACCCAACAAGGAAGUGACGGCUAACUACGUG